CUCCUACGGGAGGCAGCAGUGGGGAAUAUUGGACAAUGGGCGCAAGCCUGAUCCAGCCAUACCGCGUGGGUGAAGAAGGCCUUCGGGUUGUAAAGCCCUUUUGUUGGGAAAGAAAUCCAGCUGGCUAAUACCCGGUUGGGAUGACGGUACCCAAAGAAUAAGCACCGGCUAACUUCGUGCCAGCAGCCGCGGUAAUACGAAGGGUGCAAGCGUUACUCGGAAUUACUGGGCGUAAAGCGUGCGUAGGUGGUCGUUUAAGUCCGUUGUGAAAGCCCUGGGCUCAACCUGGGAACUGCAGUGGAUACUGGACGACUAGAGUGUGGUAGAGGGUAGCGGAAUUCCUGGUGUAGCAGUGAAAUGCGUAGAGAUCAGGAGGAACAUCCAUGGCGAAGGCAGCUACCUGGACCAACACUGACACUGAGGCACGAAAGCGUGGGGAGCAAACAGGAUUAGAUACCCUGGUAGUCCACGCCCUAAACGAUGCGAACUGGAUGUUGGGUGCAAUUUGGCACGCAGUAUCGAAGCUAACGCGUUAAGUUCGCCGCCUGGGGAGUACGGUCGCAAGACUGAAACUCAAAGGAAUUGACGGC
Molecule: ribosomal RNA, 590 nt
Filed under: uncultured bacterium
Lineage: Bacteria
Description: bacterial SSU rRNA
Rfam family: Bacterial small subunit ribosomal RNA
Source: RNAcentral